CGAUUGAUGGCUCAGUGAGGCUUUGGGACUGGCCCAGAGAGGUCGGCAACGACCACUCAGGGCCGGAAACUUAUCCAAACUCGGUCAUUUAGAGGAAGUAAAAGUCGUAACAAGGUCUCCGUUGGUGAACCAGCGGAGGGAUCAUUA
This 147-nucleotide ribosomal RNA is filed under the name Apiospora malaysiana. RNAcentral describes it as "Arthrinium malaysianum partial 18S ribosomal RNA". It matches the Rfam family "Eukaryotic small subunit ribosomal RNA", at positions 1686 to 1831 of the family's 1831-position model. Lineage: Eukaryota; Fungi; Ascomycota; Sordariomycetes; Amphisphaeriales; Apiosporaceae. The record is from RNAcentral.